This 1030-nucleotide long non-coding RNA is filed under the name Mytilus galloprovincialis (Mediterranean mussel). The record is from RNAcentral. Lineage: Eukaryota; Metazoa; Mollusca; Bivalvia; Mytilida; Mytilidae.
CAACUAUGAUAAAAACAAGCCUUAAAUUCCACCCUGAGAGUAAAAAUUGCUGAUUCAGCAAAUUUUGCCUGAUCUGUUGGUAAUAAUGUAAAAAUUUACCUAAAAAGUAGAACUUCAUUGUUUUUAUGUAACUUUCAAUACAUUUUUAAUUAUAAAGGCUCGCUUUAACUUUUCGCAGUGUCUGACACAUGUGCAACCACUGGAAUUUGAGACGCGACAUUCUUUGAUUGCAUGUACAUCCUAUUAUUUUCACCGAAAUAAAUAAAUUGCAUAAUUUCUUAUUUUUUUCAACACAAGUACAGCUAUACUAGUUUUCUUCAGGUUUUAUUUGUAGUUCUGAGGUAUCAUGACACCAGUAGGAGCAUUUUGGGAACCAGUAAGUGGUUAAGGGGUCCUUACUUAUUCAUUUAGCCCUCAUAUUUGGCUGAAAUAGAGAUAGCAAUAGGGGUUGCUUUACAUUGAAAAGACAUUAUUUUUGACAAAGAAUGUAAUUAUAAUGUUAUAUCAGCAUGAUUAAAUGGUUUAUUCAUUUUCCAUGCAAAUGCCAUUAAUUGUUAAGAUUUUCUGACAGUGAAAAGCAAAAUAAAGGCAAUUUGAUUAUGUAAGGGGACAUAAUUUAACUUAAUGCAUACAUGAGAAAUAGACAAACAGUCAACUUAGAGAUGUGUUCUAGUACAUGUAUUGUCAAAAACAUUUUAGAAUAAUAGUUAACUGUAAUCUAAAGACUCUUGUUGUAUUGCCUUUAUAAUCUGGAAAUGCUUAAAGUAAUAUAAGGCAUGCUGUAAAAUGUGGAAUGGACUUUAAUAUCAUUUUUCAUGAUUUGGUGCUUAAACUGUUUCUUUUAGUCAGAUUAACCAUAAAUAGAGUUGGCAAUCCAAUAAUUCCUCCUGAAUCACCAUGUUUGACUUCUGUGUUUUGUUGAAACAUCAUAUAUUUGGGUUUUGUGCACUCCUUAGGUUAAAAUGGUAAGAUAAAAAAAAAAGUGAAAAUCUGCCAGAUGGGGUAGGGUUGUAAUCUUUCAUUUUUUUGG